Molecule: ribosomal RNA, 1233 nt
Filed under: Clostridioides difficile
Lineage: Bacteria; Bacillati; Bacillota; Clostridia; Peptostreptococcales; Peptostreptococcaceae
Description: partial 23S ribosomal RNA
Rfam family: Bacterial large subunit ribosomal RNA
Source: RNAcentral
GGUCAAGUUAUUAAGGGUGCAGGGCGGAUGCCUUGGCACUAGGAGCCGAUGAAGGACGUGAUAAGCUGCGAUAAGCUUCGGGGAGUUGCACGUAAACUUUGAUCCGAAGAUUUCCGAAUGAGGAAACUCACUUAGAGUAAUGUCUAAGUAUCAUUAAGUGAAUACAUAGCUUAAUGAGGGGAACUCAGGGAACUGAAACAUCUAAGUACCUGAAGGAAGAGAAAGAAAUUCGAUUCCGUAAGUAGCGGCGAGCGAACGCGGAUUAGCCCAAACCAAUAAAGUUUUCUUUAUUGGGGUUGCGGACAUAUCAUAACGAAGAGGUAUCGUAAUUGAAGAGGUUUGGAAAGACCCACCACAGAAGGUAAUAGUCCUGUAUGUUAAACGAGAAGACUUUAGAUAUGAUCCAGAGUACCACGGGACACGUGAAACCCUGUGGGAAGCAGGAGGGACCACCCUCCAAGGCUAAAUACUACCUAGUGACCGAUAGCGUAUAGUACCGUGAGGGAAAGGUGAAAAGAACCCCGGGAGGGGAGUGAAAUAGAACCUGAAACCCUGCACUUACAAGCUGUGGAAGCACAUUUCUUGUGUGACCGCGUACUUUUUGUAGAACGGGCCAACGAGUUACGUUAAGUAGCAAGGUUAAGCACUUAAGGUGCGGAGCCGUAGCGAAAGCGAGUUUUAACUGAGCGUUCAGUUACUUGACGUAGACCCGAAACCGGGCGACCUACCCAUGAGCAGGAUGAAGCGAAAGUAAAAUUUCGUGGAGGUCCGAACCCACGAGCGUUGAAAAGCUCGGGGAUGACUUGUGGGUAGCGGUGAAAUUCCAAUCGAGCCCGGAGAUAGCUGGUUCUCCCCGAAAUAGCUUUAGGGCUAGCCUCAAGGUGAGAGAUACGGAGGUAGAGCACUGAAUGUCCUAGGGGGUAUUGCACCUACCGAAGACUAUCAAACUCCGAAUGCCGUCAUCUUAUACUUGGGAGUCAGACUGUGGGUGAUAAGAUUCAUAGUCGAAAGGGCAACAGCCCAGAUCGUCAGCUAAGGUCCCUAAAUGUAAGUUAAGUGGUAAAGGAUGUGGGAUUGCACAGACAACCAGGAUGUUGGCUUAGAAGCAGCCACUCAUUCAAAGAGUGCGUAAUAGCUCACUGGUCGAGUGAUCCUGCGCCGAAGAUUUCCGGGGCUAAAACUUACUACCGAAGCUACGGCAUCAGUAAUGAUGGGUAGGGGAGCUUCCCAUAC